Long non-coding RNA from Daphnia pulex (common water flea), 635 nucleotides. RefSeq lists it as uncharacterized. The record is from RefSeq and is a predicted model, not a curated record. Lineage: Eukaryota; Metazoa; Arthropoda; Branchiopoda; Diplostraca; Daphniidae. The transcript is spliced from 2 exons.
AAACGACACAUGAAAGUCAUGAAUCUUUUUUGAAUUUUUGGAGUGUGAUAAAAUACUUGAAAUCAGAGAUAAAAACUUACAAGGGACUAGUUUGUGCACUUCACAACAAGCAUUCUACUAUUUUUGCAGUAUCCCGCUCUUGAAGCAAAGAAGGAAAUGAGAGGAAACAAAAGAGCCACGUUUUGCGCGCAAACGGCCAAGGAAACAAACAAAUUGAACGAAAAUGUUGGACAAAUUGGCAAACGAGAGACACACACACAAGAAAUCAAAUAAGUGCAGCGUGUGCUGUAACGUCCAGCUAAGAGAAGAAAAACACAAGGUGAAAGAGAGAGAGGCAAGUUGUUUUACAGCGACUUUGAUGGGCACAAUAACGACGAUGAGGAAAAACGGCGAGCAAUAGAAGAGACGAGGGUAGAUGGAUGAUUAUACAGAAACGGACGUGACAAUCCUCAUUGGUCAUGUCCGCGGUAAGAAAGUAAGAAAAAGUUUCCCAUUCCUUUUUGUUACGCACGUCUCGAAAUAUUCAAUUGCCCUUUUUUUCUUUCUUCUUAAAUCCUCCCUGGGGUUAGUUGAUGCCGACGUGAUGCCACUGAAAUUGACUAGAACCAAUCAAACAAAUGCCCGUAUUCCAGAAA